GUGCCAGAAGAAGAGGGAAGACGGAGGGAGCUAGCGUUGUUCGGAAUUACUGGGCGUCAAGCGUACGUAGGCGGUUACUCAAGUCAGAGGUGAAAGCCCGGGGCUCAACCCCGGAACUGCCUUUGAAACUAGGUAGCUAGAAUCUUGGAGAGGUCAGUGGAAUUCCGAGUGUAGAGGUGAAAUUCGUAGAUAUUCGGAAGAACACCAGUGGCGAAGGCGACUGACUGGACAAGUAUUGACGCUGAGGUACGAAAGCGUGGGGAGCAAACAGGAUUAGAUACCCUGGUAGUCCACGCCGUAAACGAUGAUAACUAGCUGUCCGGGCACUUGGUGCUUGGGUGGCGCAGCUAACGCAUUAAGUUAUCCGCCUGGGGAGUACGGUCGCAAGAUUAAAACUCAAAUAAAUUGGCGG
Molecule: ribosomal RNA, 412 nt
Filed under: uncultured bacterium
Lineage: Bacteria
Description: bacterial SSU rRNA
Rfam family: Bacterial small subunit ribosomal RNA
Source: RNAcentral